GGGCCCGCACAAGCGGUGGAGCAUGUGGCUUAAUUCGAGGCAACGCGAAGAACCUUACCUGGUCUUGACAUGCCCGUCAUAGUUUUCCGAAAGGAAUUCGUCAGUUCGGCUGGACGGUGCACAGGUGCUGCAUGGCUGUCGUCAGCUCGUGUCGUGAGAUGUUCGGUUAAGUCCGGCAACGAGCGCAACCCUCGUUUCCAGUUGCCAGCGGGUAAUGCCGGGGACUCUGGAAAGACAAACCUCUUGUUGAGGUGGGAAGGUGGGGACGACGUCAAGUCAGUAUGGCCCUUACGACCAGGGCUGCACACGUGCUACAAUGCCCGGCACAAUGGGAUGCAAUAUCGCGAGAUUGAGCAAAUCCACAAAACCGGGCCCAGUUCGGAUUGGAGUCUGCAACUCGACUCCAUG
RNAcentral lists this ribosomal RNA (408 nucleotides) under uncultured bacterium. Its description in RNAcentral is "bacterial SSU rRNA". It matches the Rfam family "Bacterial small subunit ribosomal RNA", at positions 917 to 1322 of the family's 1533-position model. The record is from RNAcentral.